AUUGAACGCUGGCGGCAUGCUUUACACAUGCAAGUCGAGCGGUAACAGGCCGCAAGGUGCUGACGAGUGGCGCACGGGUGAGUAAUGCAUCGGAACGUGCCCAGCCGUGGGGGAUAACUACUCGAAAGAGUAGCUAAUACCGCAUACGAUCUAUGGAUGAAAGCGGGGGACCGUAAGGCCUCGCGCGAUUGGAGCGGCCGAUGUCAGAUUAGGUAGUUGGUGGGGUAAAGGCUCACCAAGCCAACGAUCUGUAGCUGGUCUGAGAGGACGACCAGCCACACUGGGACUGAGACACGGCCCAGACUCCUACGGGAGGCAGCAGUGGGGAAUUUUGGACAAUGGGCGCAAGCCUGAUCCAGCAAUGCCGCGUGCAGGAAGAAGGCCUUCGGGUUGUAAACUGCUUUUGUACGGAACGAAACGGCUCUGGUUAAUACCCGGGGCUAAUGACGGUACCGUAAGAAUAAGCACCGGCUAACUACGUG
Molecule: ribosomal RNA, 482 nt
Filed under: uncultured bacterium
Lineage: Bacteria
Description: partial 16S ribosomal RNA
Rfam family: Bacterial small subunit ribosomal RNA
Source: RNAcentral